AGCGGGGUGGGGCAGUCUGGAGUGCCCGCCGGGCUCAUAACCCGGAGGCCGUUGGUUCAAAUCCAUCCCCCGCUA
RNAcentral lists this transfer RNA (75 nucleotides) under archaeon. Its description in RNAcentral is "tRNA-Met". It matches the Rfam family "tRNA". Rfam says of the family: Transfer RNA (tRNA) molecules are approximately 80 nucleotides in length. Their secondary structure includes four short double-helical elements and three loops (D, anti-codon, and T loops). Further hydrogen bonds mediate the characteristic L-shaped molecular structure. tRNAs have two regions of fundamental functional importance: the anti-codon, which is responsible for specific mRNA codon recognition, and the 3' end, to which the tRNAs corresponding amino acid is attached (by aminoacyl-tRNA synthetases). tRNAs cope with the degeneracy of the genetic code in two manners: having more than one tRNA (with a specific anti-codon) for a particular amino acid; and 'wobble' base-pairing, i.e. permitting non-standard base-pairing at the 3rd anti-codon position. The record is from RNAcentral.